This 596-nucleotide ribosomal RNA is filed under the name Helicobacter pylori. RNAcentral describes it as "bacterial LSU rRNA". It matches the Rfam family "Bacterial large subunit ribosomal RNA", at positions 1572 to 2175 of the family's 2925-position model. The record is from RNAcentral. Lineage: Bacteria; Pseudomonadati; Campylobacterota; Epsilonproteobacteria; Campylobacterales; Helicobacteraceae.
UCCUUUUAGGACAAAGGGAGAAUCGCUGAUACCGUCGUGCCAAGAAAAGCCUCUAAGCAUAUCCAUAGUCGUCCGUACCGCAAACCGACACAGGUAGAUGAGAUGAGUAUUCUAAGGCGCGUGAAAGAACUCUGGUUAAGGAACUCUGCAAACUAGCACCGUAAGUUCGCGAUAAGGUGUGCCGCAGCAAUGCGGUCUCAGCAAAGAGUCCCUCCCGACUGUUUACCAAAAACACAGCACUUUGCCAACUCGUAAGAGGAAGUAUAAGGUGUGACGCCUGCCCGGUGCUCGAAGGUUAAGAGGAUGCGUCAGUCGCAAGAUGAAGCGUUGAAUUGAAGCCCGAGUAAACGGCGGCCGUAACUAUAACGGUCCUAAGGUAGCGAAAUUCCUUGUCGGUUAAAUACCGACCUGCAUGAAUGGCGUAACGAGAUGGGAGCUGUCUCAACCAGAGAUUCAGUGAAAUUGUAGUGGAGGUGAAAAUUCCUCCUACCCGCGGCAAGACGGAGAGACCCCGUGGACCUUUACUACAACUUAGUACUGCUAAUGGGAAUAUCAUGCGCAGGAUAGGUGGGAGGCUUUGAAGUAAGGGCUUUGGU